GAUAAACGCUGGCGGCGUGCCUAAUGCAUGCAAGUCGAACGGGAGCCCCUUCGGGGGUCGACCGUGGCGGACGGGUGAGGAACGCGUGGCCAACCUACCCUGAUCACGGGGAUACCCACUGGAAACGGUGGCGAAUACCGGAUGAGCUCGUGUCUGGGGACGGACACGAGGAAAGCAUUAUGGAGCGGAUCAGGAGGGGGCUGCGUCCGAUUAGCUAGUUGGUGAGGUAACGGCUUACCAAGGCAACGAUCGGUAGCUGGUCUGAGAGGAUGAUCAGCCACACGGGGACUGAGACACGGCCCCGACUCCUACGGGAGGCAGCAGCAGGGAAUUUUCCACAAUGGGCGCAAGCCUGAUGGAGCAACGCCGCGUGCGGGAGGACGCGUUUCGACGUGUAAACCGCUGUUCCGAGGGACGAAUCAGAUGACGGUACCUCGGGAGGAAGGCCCGGCUAACUACGUGCCAGCAGCCGCGGUAAGACGUAGGGGCCAAGCGUUGUCCGGAGUAACUGGGCGUAAAGGGCGCGCAGGCGGUGCGUCACGUCGGGUGUGAAAGCCCCCCGCUCAACGGGGGAGGGUCAUCCGAAACGGACGGACUGGAGGCAGGGAGAGGUCGGUGGAAUUCCCGGAGUAGUGGUGAAAUGCGUAGAUCUCGGGAGGAACACCAGAGGCGAAGGCGGCCGACUGGACCUGACCUGACGCUGAGGCGCGAAGGCGUGGGGAGCGAACGGGAUUAGAUACCCCGGUAGUCCACGCAGUAAACGAUGUGCACUAGGCGGAGGAUGUAUUGACCCAUUCUGUGCCGUAGCUAACGCGGUAAGUGCACCGCCUGGGGAGUACGGUCGCAAGACUAAAACUCAAAGGAAUUGACGGGGCCCCGCACAAGCAGCGGAGCGUGUGGUUUAAUUCGAUGCAACGCGAAGAACCUUACCAGGACUUGACAGCUUCGGAAGACCGGGGAAACCUGGUUGUGCUCGCAAGAGAACCGAAAGACAGGUGUUGCAUGGCUGUCGUCAGCUCGUGUCGUGAGAUGUUGGGUUAAGUCCCGCAACGAGCGCAACCCCUGUGGCUAGUUACCAAGGAAUGUCUAGCCAGACUGCCGUCGGACGGAGGAAGGCGGGGAUGAGGUCAAGUCAGCAUGACCCUUAUGUCCUGGGCGACACACACGCUACAAUGGCCGGUACAACGGGCAGCCAAGCAGUAAUGCGGAGCCAAUCCCAUAAAGCCGGUCUCAGUACGGAUUGGGGGCUGCAACCCGCCCCCAUGAAGGUGGAGUUGCUAGUAACCGCUGGUCAGCAUACAGCGGUGAAUCUGUUCCCGGGGCUUGUACUCACCGC
This 1336-nucleotide ribosomal RNA is filed under the name uncultured bacterium. RNAcentral describes it as "bacterial SSU rRNA". It matches the Rfam family "Bacterial small subunit ribosomal RNA", at positions 28 to 1393 of the family's 1533-position model. The record is from RNAcentral.